CAGGCCAGCAUCAGUUUGAGUGGUUAGAUAAAGGCCUCUGUCAAGUAUCUCCCUUCGGGGUGACCUUAUAGGGGAGGCGUAAUGCGACCAGCCCGGACUGAGGUCCGCGCAUCUGCUAGGAUGCUGGCGUAAUGGCUGUAAGCGG
RNAcentral lists this ribosomal RNA (145 nucleotides) under Paraconiothyrium sp. RNAcentral's name for it is "partial large subunit ribosomal RNA". The record is from RNAcentral. Lineage: Eukaryota; Fungi; Ascomycota; Dothideomycetes; Pleosporales; Didymosphaeriaceae.